GGGGUGGCGGUUAACUCACUUUAAGCAAUCAAUUCUGAAGGCAGAUCUAUUGGCUAGCAUUGCUGGCUAUAGACUGAACAAAUACAGACAACUCUCAACAACGGAUAUCUUGGCUCCCGUAACGAUGAAGAACGCAGCGAAAUGCGAUACGUAGUGUGAAUUGCAGAAUUCCGUGAACCAUCGAAUCUUUGAACGCAAAUUGCGCUCGAGGCUUCGGCCAAGAGCAUGUCUGCCUCAGCGUCGGCUACUACCCUCAACUAAGUUUCCUACGAAAGACUAGGGGAUGCCAGUUGGAUAUGGCCGUCCGGUUUGCCUUUCAGGCUGCCGGUCAGCUGAAAUACAUUCACGCUCUGGGGGCUGCUUUCCUUGAAAGGCUACUUUCAAGGGGAGGCGAGUUCCGAUUUGGUAGGUGACCUUUGCCGGUUACAUGCCUUCGUUGCUCGCUAAGCUUCCCAAUAGUCGUUGUGCAGGACGCCUUUUGGCUUUCGACCUGAGGUCAGGCAAGAACACCCGCUGAACUUAAGCAUAUCAAUAAGCGGAGGAAAAGAA
RNAcentral lists this ribosomal RNA (549 nucleotides) under Trebouxia sp. 1 LM-2014. Its description in RNAcentral is "eukaryotic LSU rRNA". The stretch from base 90 to 243 matches the Rfam family "5.8S ribosomal RNA". Lineage: Eukaryota; Viridiplantae; Chlorophyta; Trebouxiophyceae; Trebouxiales; Trebouxiaceae. The record is from RNAcentral.